UACGAAGGGGGCUAGCGUUGUUCGGAAUUACUGGGCGUAAAGGGCGCGUAGGCGGCGCUGUAAGUGAGAUGUGAAAGACCCGGGCUCAACUUGGGAAGUGCAUUUCAGACUGCAGUGCUAGAGUGCGAGAGAGGAAAGUGGAAUGACGCAUGUAGAGGUGAAAUUCGUAGAUAUGCGUUGGAACACCAAUGGCGAAGGCAACUUUCUGGCUCGCAACUGACGCUAAGGCGCGAAAGCGUGGGGAGCAAACAGG
Molecule: ribosomal RNA, 253 nt
Filed under: uncultured bacterium
Lineage: Bacteria
Description: partial 16S ribosomal RNA
Rfam family: Bacterial small subunit ribosomal RNA
Source: RNAcentral